RNAcentral lists this long non-coding RNA (296 nucleotides) under Elaeis guineensis (African oil palm). Its description in RNAcentral is "long non-coding RNA (EGUI_LNC076453)". The record is from RNAcentral. Lineage: Eukaryota; Viridiplantae; Streptophyta; Magnoliopsida; Arecales; Arecaceae.
UCACCACACACUUUAGUUAAGAAGACAACCAACCAAUAUAGCACACAAUGACUUACACUCGAAACAAUUAUCAUCCUUAUAAUAAUUAUAUCUUUUGAUCGCGAGCAAGAUUUAAGAACUAUACGAUAAAUCCUCCUUUAUCAUUUUGAAAGUAGCUCUAAAGAUUUCAUCAUAACAUAUAAGUUCUAUUUAGGAAGAUAUAUUCCUUAUGAUGAAUCUUACUAGAUAAUAUUUAUCACUUUAUAAUUUAUAUACAUAUAUAGAGCUCAAUCAUUUACAGUCUAGAUGAUUAGCUU